GCGGAGGAAAAGAAACCAACAGGGAUUACCUCAGUAACGGCGAGUGAAGCGGUAACAGCUCAAAUUUGAAAUCUGGCCUCACGGUCCGAGUUGUAAUUUGUAGAGGAUGCUUCGAGCAUGGUCUGGCCUAAGUUCCUUGGAACAGGACGUCAUAGAGGGUGAGAAUCCCGUAUGCGGCCAGGUGCCUACGCUCAUGUGAAGCUCCUUCGACGAGUCGAGUUGUUUGGGAAUGCAGCUCAAAAUGGGUGGUAAAUUUCAUCUAAAGCUAAAUAUUGGCCAGAGACCGAUAGCGCACAAGUAGAGUGAUCGAAAGAUGAAAAGCACUUUGGAAAGAGAGUUAAACAGUACGUGAAAUUGUUGAAAGGGAAGCGCUUGCAACCAGACUUGCGCGCGGCCGAUCAUCCGGUGUUCUCACCGGUGCACUCGGCCGUGCUCAGGCCAGCAUCGGUUUUGGCGGCUGGAUAAAGGCCCUAGGAAUGUAGCUCCUCUCGGGGAGUGUUAUAGCCUAGGGUGCAAUGCAGCCUGCUGGGACCGAGGACCGCGCUUCGGCUAGGAUGCUGGCGUAAUGGUUGUAAGCGGCCCGUCUUGA
RNAcentral lists this ribosomal RNA (589 nucleotides) under Geomyces sp. FMCC-1. RNAcentral's name for it is "eukaryotic LSU rRNA". It matches the Rfam family "Eukaryotic large subunit ribosomal RNA", at positions 50 to 657 of the family's 3401-position model. The record is from RNAcentral. Lineage: Eukaryota; Fungi; Ascomycota; Leotiomycetes; Thelebolales; Pseudeurotiaceae.